UCUAGAGGCUUCGUCAAUGCCCGAAAGGGUGAACGAGCGACGCCGCGUGCGGGAUGAAGGGCUUCGGCUUGUAAACCGCUUUUCUUUGGAAAGAAGGCCCAGAUCGUGAAUCUGGGAUUGACGGUACCAGGGGAAUAAGCCCCGGCUAACUCCGUGCCAGCAGCCGCGGUAAGACGGAGGGGGCAAGCGUUGUUCGGAAUUAUUGGGCGUAAAGGGCUCGUAGGCGGACCGGUGUGUCUGGCGUGAAAUCUCCACUGCUUAACAGGGAGGGGCCGCUGGAAACUGCCGAUCUUGAGUAUGGUAGAGGACCAUGGAAUUCCGGGUGUAGCGGUGGAAUGCGUAGAUAUCCGGAAGAACACCGGUGGCGAAGGCGGUGGUCUGGACCAAAACUGACGCUGAGGAGCGAAAGCUAGGGGAGCAAACGGGAUUAGAUACCCCGGUAGUCC
This 446-nucleotide ribosomal RNA is filed under the name uncultured bacterium. RNAcentral's name for it is "bacterial SSU rRNA". It matches the Rfam family "Bacterial small subunit ribosomal RNA", at positions 355 to 796 of the family's 1533-position model. The record is from RNAcentral.